AGCAUCCGAACAAGUGAAACUGU
RNAcentral lists this small nuclear RNA (23 nucleotides) under Arabidopsis thaliana (thale cress). RNAcentral's name for it is "snRNA_11706". Lineage: Eukaryota; Viridiplantae; Streptophyta; Magnoliopsida; Brassicales; Brassicaceae. The record is from RNAcentral.